This 376-nucleotide ribosomal RNA is filed under the name uncultured bacterium. RNAcentral describes it as "bacterial SSU rRNA". It matches the Rfam family "Bacterial small subunit ribosomal RNA", at positions 524 to 898 of the family's 1533-position model. The record is from RNAcentral.
UACGUAGGGGGCGAGCGUUGUCCGGAAUUACUGGGCGUAAAGGGUACGUAGGCGGCUAUAUAAGUCAGGUGUGAAAUACCAGUGCUUAACACUGGAAUUGCAUUUGAAACUGUGUAGCUUGAGUGCAGGAGAGGAAAGUGGAAUUCCUAGUGUAGCGGUGAAAUGCGUAGAGAUUAGGAGGAACACCAGUGGCGAAGGCGACUUUCUGGACUGUAACUGACGCUGAGGUACGAAAGCGUGGGUAGCGAACAGGAUUAGAUACCCUGGUAGUCCACGCCGUAAACGAUGGAUACUAGGUGUAGGGGGUAUCGACCCCCCCUGUGCCGGAGUUAACGCAAUAAGUAUCCCGCCUGGGGAGUACGGUCGCAAGACUGAA